UUGGAGGGCAAGUCUGGUGCCAGCAGCCGCGGUAAUUCCAGCUCCAAUAGCGUAUAUUAAAGUUGUUGCAGUUAAAAAGCUCGUAGUUGAAUUUCGGGAUUUGUCGGUUGGUCGGGCUUCACUGUCCGCACUGACCUGAUGGAUUCCUACCUUCUGAAUAACCAGCAUGCUAUUAAGUUAGUGCGUUGGGGAAGCAGAGCUAUUACCUUGAAAAAAUUAGAGUGCUUAAAGCAGGCUUGUGCUUGAAUAGAUUAGCAUGGAAUAAUAAAAUAGGACGGCAUGGUUCUAUUUUGUUGGUUUCUAGGAUCACCGUAAUGAUUAAUAGGGAUAGUUGGGGGCAUUAGUAUUCAAUUGUCAGAGGUGAAAUUCUUGGAUUUAUUGAAGACUAACUUCUGCGAAAGUAUUUGCCAAGGAUGUUUUCAUUAAUCAAGAACGAAAGUUAGGGGAUCGAAGACGAUCAGAUACCGUCGUAGUCUUAACCAUAAACUAUGCCGACUAGGGAUCGGACGAUGUUAAUUUUUUAAUGACUCGUUCGGCGCCUUACGGGAAAC
This 551-nucleotide ribosomal RNA is filed under the name uncultured Acaulospora. RNAcentral describes it as "SSU rRNA". It matches the Rfam family "Eukaryotic small subunit ribosomal RNA", at positions 548 to 1098 of the family's 1831-position model. The record is from RNAcentral. Lineage: Eukaryota; Fungi; Glomeromycota; Glomeromycetes; Diversisporales; Acaulosporaceae.